CCUACGGGAGGCAGCAGUGGGGAAUAUUGGACAAUGGGGGAAACCCUGAUCCAGCAAUACCAUGUGUGUGAAGAAGGCUCUAGGGUCGUAAAGCACUUUAGUCAGGGAGGAAGGCCUUGUCGUUAAUAGCGGCAGGGAUUGACGUUACCUGAAGAAUAAGCACCGGCUAACUCCGUGCCAGCAGCCGCGGUAAUA
Molecule: ribosomal RNA, 195 nt
Filed under: uncultured Gammaproteobacteria bacterium
Lineage: Bacteria; Pseudomonadati; Pseudomonadota; Gammaproteobacteria
Description: partial 16S ribosomal RNA
Rfam family: Bacterial small subunit ribosomal RNA
Source: RNAcentral